This 435-nucleotide ribosomal RNA is filed under the name uncultured haloarchaeon. RNAcentral describes it as "bacterial SSU rRNA". It matches the Rfam family "Archaeal small subunit ribosomal RNA", at positions 1 to 437 of the family's 1478-position model. Lineage: Archaea; Methanobacteriati; Methanobacteriota; Halobacteria; Halobacteriales; Halobacteriaceae. The record is from RNAcentral.
UUCCGGUUGAUCCUGCCGGAGGCCAUUGCUAUCGGAGUCCGAUUUAGCCAUGCUAGUUGCACGAGUUCAGGCUCGUAGCAGAUAGCUCAGUAACACGUGGCCAAACUACCCUCUGGAGCGCAAUAACCUCGGGAAACUGAGGCUAAUGGCGCAUACGGCUCGCUGCCUGGAGUGGCGCGAGCUCGAAACGCUCCGGCGCCAGAGGAUGUGGCUGCGGCCGAUUAGGUAGACGGUGGGGUAACGGCCCACCGUGCCAGUAAUCGGUACGGGUUGUGAGAGCAAGAGCCCGGAGACGGUAUCUGAGACAAGAUACCGGGCCCUACGGGGCGCAGCAGGCGCGAAACCUUUACACUGCACGCCAGUGCGAUAAGGGGACUCCGAGUGCGAGGGCAUAUAGUCCUCGCUUUUCUGGACCGUAUAGGUGGUCCAGGAAUA